UACGAAGGGUGCAAGCGUUACUCGGAAUUACUGGGCGUAAAGCGUGCGUAGGUGGUUUGUUAAGUCUGUUGUGAAAGCCCCGGGCUCAACCUGGGAAUGGCAAUGGAUACUGGCAGGCUAGAGUGCGGUAGAGGGUAGUGGAAUUCCCGGUGUAGCGGUGAAAUGCGUAGAGAUCGGGAGGAACACCUGUGGCGAAAGCGGCUCACUGGACCGCAACUGACGCUGAGGCGCGAAAGCUAGGGGAGCAAACAGG
This 253-nucleotide ribosomal RNA is filed under the name uncultured bacterium. RNAcentral's name for it is "partial 16S ribosomal RNA". It matches the Rfam family "Bacterial small subunit ribosomal RNA", at positions 524 to 776 of the family's 1533-position model. The record is from RNAcentral.